This 504-nucleotide ribosomal RNA is filed under the name uncultured bacterium. RNAcentral describes it as "partial 16S ribosomal RNA". It matches the Rfam family "Bacterial small subunit ribosomal RNA", at positions 28 to 507 of the family's 1533-position model. The record is from RNAcentral.
GACGAACGCUGGCGGCGUGCUUAACACAUGCAAGUCGAACGGUGAAGCGCUUGCCUUUUUGGUGGGUGUGGAUGAGUGGCGAACGGGUGAGUAACACGUGAGUAACCUGCCCUCUUCUUCUGGAUAACCUCAUGAAAGUGGGGCUAAUACGGGGUAUUCCGGGUCUGUCGCAUGGCGGGUUUGGGAAAGAUUGCGCCUUUGGGUGUUUUCGGUGGGGGAUGGGCUCGCGGCUUAUCAGCUUGUUGGUGGGGUGAUGGCCUACCAAGGCGGUGACGGGUAGCCGGCCUGAGAGGGUGGACGGCCACACUGGGACUGAGACACGGCCCAGACUCCUGCGGGAGGCAGCAGUGGGGAAUAUUGCACAAUGGGCGCAAGCCUGAUGCAGCGACGCCGCGUGAGGGAUGGAGGCCUUCGGGUUGUGAACCUCUUUCGCCAGUGAAGCAGGCCUGCUCCUGUGUGGGUGGGUUGACGGUAGCUGGAUAAGAAGCGCCGGCUAACUACGUG